GUUUACAGCUGGGCAGACUCAUUGACCAAAAGAAAUACACACCAGAGAUGAUCUCCAUGCUGAAACGAAACUCGUGUGGGAAAGCCCUGGACAUCGCCAGGCAGGCCAGAGACAUGCUGGGAGGAAACGGCAUAGCAGACGAAUACCACAUCAUACGCCAUGUCUUGAACCUAGAGGCCGUCAACACAUAUGAAGGCACUCAUGACAUCCAUGCUUUGAUCUUGGGCAGAGCCAUCACUGGACUCCAGUCUUUUACUGUUG
Molecule: long non-coding RNA, 261 nt
Organism: Sinocyclocheilus anshuiensis
Lineage: Eukaryota; Metazoa; Chordata; Actinopteri; Cypriniformes; Cyprinidae
Exons: 3
Source: RefSeq, a predicted model, not a curated record